This 507-nucleotide ribosomal RNA is filed under the name uncultured bacterium. RNAcentral describes it as "partial 16S ribosomal RNA". It matches the Rfam family "Bacterial small subunit ribosomal RNA", at positions 28 to 507 of the family's 1533-position model. The record is from RNAcentral.
GACGAACGCUGGCGGCGUGCUUAACACAUGCAAGUCGAACGGGCCUUGUCCCCUUUUUUUUGGGGGUGGGGUUAGUGGCGAACGGGUGAGUAACACGUGAGUAACCUGCCCCUCACUUCUGGAUAACCGCUUGAAAGGGUGGCUAAUACGGGGUGUUCUGGCCUGCUCGCAUGGGUGGGUUUGGAAAGAUUCGACCGGUUUUGGUUGUUUUGGUGGGGGAUGGGCUCGCGGCCUAUCAGCUUGUUUGUGGGGUGAUGGCCUGCCAAGGCUUUGACGGGUAGCCGGCCUGAGAGGGUGGGCGGUCACACUGGGACUGAGACACGGCCCAGACUCCUACGGGAGGCAGCAGUGGGGAAUAUUGCACAAUGGGCGCAAGCCUGAUGCAGCGACGCCGCGUGAGGGAUGGAGGCCUUCGGGUUGUGAACCUCUUUCGCCAGUGAAGAAGGUCCUGCUCUUUGUGGUGGGGUUGACGGUAGCUGGGUUAAUGAAGCGCCGGCUAACUACGUG